This 1429-nucleotide long non-coding RNA is filed under the name Felis catus (domestic cat). RNAcentral's name for it is "lncRNA (ENSFCAG00000053595.1)". Lineage: Eukaryota; Metazoa; Chordata; Mammalia; Carnivora; Felidae. The record is from RNAcentral.
AUGGCAGGCCGGGGAUUGGGUCCAACACCUGCUGGCACGAGCGGUUGUACCUCAAGCGUGAUGCCAUUCUGCCUUUGGGUGCUAACGGCAGGGACGAGAGGUACAGGAGCCAAGGCCCAGGCCUCCUCACAGGAGUUCCUUGGAGGCAGCGGGGAGUUAAUCGCAGAAAGCUUCCUGCAGGAGGCAGCGCUUAGGUGGUGCCAAGGAGUCAAUCAAACAACCCACGACAGCUGUCAGCAGGCGCCUGGGCCCACGUUCCCUGUUUCCCUGGCCUGCUUCCUGCGGGCUCAAGGGGGCUGUGCCACCACAGUGGGCCCGAGGGCUGGUGGGGGACCAAGCCUCAGCAGAGGUGAUGGUCAUGCAAGGAAGGAGCGCCGCUCCUUUGGAAGUGACACCGGAGAAGGGCGCUCCUGUCUUCUACAUUCAUGAAUCAUGGCGGGAAAGACGAAGAGACCCUCCCUCGGUACCCGCAGUGCCUUGGUGUGUGUGUGUUGGGGGCUGGGGUUCAUGGACGUGCCCUGUCAUAACUCCUCCUUUCAGUGACUGUAGUCGCAGAGGGCAGGAACCGACAAUUUCAGGUCACUGGCAGGUCACUGUUAUGACCGUCACCAGUAUUUCCCUCUGCCGAAGACAAGGCACGGCCCCCAAGCAGGACACCCGACUGAAGGAUAAAGGAGUGGUCUUUGGGGGUCUGGCCGGCCCUAGGGAGGGAUCAAGAGGCACCCCCCAGCUGUCCUUUCGUGGCCCAGAAUAAGAAAUGGUGGCCUCUAGAGGGCUGGAAAGAGAGCUAACAGUGAUCAAGCAGCUAGGUUAAGCUGGCUGGCUGUCCACUACACCUCAGUUCAUCCUGCCCCCUACCCUGUGAGCCGCUCUGCUGCCCGCCCACCAAAGGAGAAACUGAGGCCCAGAGCAGUUUAAAUAACUUGCUCGAGUUUACACAGCUAGCAAAUGCCAGAGGUAGGAACUGGGUCCGUGCUCUUUUUCUCACACAGCCCUGCCAAACCAAGAGGGACCGUCCAGGGUGGGAGCCACACCCCACGUGCCCUGGCACAACUGAUACUAUGCUUCUUUUUCUUUCUUCCCUUUUUUCCUUCAUUUCUUUUUGCUUGUUGUUCACACUUAGGUAAGGCUUUGAGGGGGGUGGGGGGGUCGUGGAGUAGGACGACACACCCCUGAGCCCGAUCAGAUGGGACAGGGGUCAGAGGAAGAUCCCAAAGAGGGAAAUGAAAUUCUGGGGCUGCUCCGGUACCUGAGCAGUGUGGCGUGGGGGCUAAGGGUAUCUGCCCUAGGUUCACAGACCCCCGAUUCAAGUCCCAGAGCCAUCACUCAGGGACGUCGGGCAGGUUGCUUCACCUCUUUCUGCCUCAAUUUCCUUCCCCCCGGAAACGGUAGUGAUGUAGAGACUAGCUCUGGGAGCUGUGAGGAUUAA